ACUGCGAACACGUAAUUAACUCCGCGGGCCACGGCAAGGGGGCGACCCCUUGCCGUKUCCUGUCCCCCGCCGGCGUGUUCCCUCGGGUCACGUCGUGCGGGCUAACGAACCCCGGCGCGGAAUGCGCCAAGGAAAACCAAACGAAGCGUCCGCCCCCGGCACCCCGUUCGCGGAGCGUGCCGUGGGACCGGCCGUCUAUCAAAUGUCAAAACGACUCUCGGCAACGGAUAUCUCGGCUCUCGCAUCGAUGAAGAACGUAGCGAAAUGCGAUACUUGGUGUGAAUUGCAGAAUCCCGUGAACCAUCGAGUCUUUGAACGCAAGUUGCGCCCGAAGCCACUAGGCUGAGGGCACGCCUGCCUGGGCGUCACGCAUCGCGUCGCCCCCCAUCCCCGCGCACACAGCCGGGCGGUUGGGGGCGGAGAUUGGCCUCCCGUGCGCCUCGGUGCGCGGCCGGCCCAAAUGCGAUCCCCGGGCGACUGGCGUCACGACAAGUGGUGGUUGAACAUCUCAAUCUCUCCUCGCAGCCGUGCCGCC
RNAcentral lists this ribosomal RNA (535 nucleotides) under Mentha spicata subsp. condensata. RNAcentral's name for it is "eukaryotic LSU rRNA". The stretch from base 213 to 368 matches the Rfam family "5.8S ribosomal RNA". Lineage: Eukaryota; Viridiplantae; Streptophyta; Magnoliopsida; Lamiales; Lamiaceae. The record is from RNAcentral.